UUGCUCAGUUAAUCGGCUCUGAGGUGCUUCAUCCAGCCGGGCAGAGCAGCAAGGCAGCCUCCAAAAAAGAUUUUUGCUUUUGAGGGGGUGGCGUGGAGAAGAGAUGAUGGGACGAUGAUAUUUGUUAGAGGGUAGGAAAGACAAUACUCUGAAAUGAGGAGGGAGUCCUCCCAGCAUCCCCUAACAGCAGAGAGAAGGCUUCUUUCUGUUUUAGUGUAGAGAGCCCCCAAAUAAGUGGGUGUAAGGGACACUGCCCUCAUACACACACCACACACCCAGCUCCCCAUCCCCAGCUUCUAACACUCCCAGUUCAGGUCUUGUCUCUCGGCCCCAGUUCACUCCUGGGAUGCCUAUCUAAAAGACAGCUCAGAAAAUCCACAAACUGACAAAUACUUUUCCUCUUCUCUUUGCCGGUACCUUUUCUUUUCGAAGAAAGAAAAAACCAAACCAGCUGGUGCGAAAAGGAACCCGCAAGCUGUGAAGUUAAAGGAAAGUCGGCUUCCGUUGUCAUUUGCUGCUCCGAGUGCAGACGAGGGUCACAAGUCACAGGCCAUGAGGAAAAGGGAAACCAGAACUGGCGUGGGCACUUUGACAGCCAGUGCUGCAACAGCUGAGGUGCAGCAUGAACUGGGGCCUUCACAACUGCAGAAAGGAGCUGUUGAAGUGAGCUGAACUGAAUCCAUCCUGCAUGCAGCUAUCUUGUGCCACCCCGUGUAAGAGAUGGGAAAUUACACAACUUUCUGACCACUGUGACCCGACUUUGGCAUUGGAGUCCUGCAGAUGAGUUUUGUGCACUUUGAAGACAUUUUUCAGUUUAUCAGCAACUGAAGCACAUUUUAAAAAGUAUUGAAAUUGUUUAAUAUGAAAACUAAUUUUUCUUAAAACGUGAUUUCUUUAUACUUACGCUAGUUCUUCCUUUACAUUUGUAACUUUUACAUGAUAAUGUAUACAGCCCUCAGGCCAUCUGCUGUGCGUGAUACUAGUUCUUUAUGAAUGUGUUUUCAAUAUUCUAAUUAAUAUACCUUCAUAAUUGUGCUCUUUCCCGUUAUUUGUACUUUUUUUAUUUGCUGGUUGGUGGUGCUUGCUUUUCCUUUAGUGGUAUUUUUCUUUCUCAUGUUU
Melospiza melodia melodia is the source of this 1119-nucleotide long non-coding RNA. RefSeq lists it as uncharacterized. The transcript is spliced from 5 exons. The record is from RefSeq and is a predicted model, not a curated record. NCBI's taxonomy places the organism in Eukaryota, Metazoa, Chordata, Aves, Passeriformes, Passerellidae.